RNAcentral lists this ribosomal RNA (496 nucleotides) under uncultured bacterium. Its description in RNAcentral is "partial 16S ribosomal RNA". It matches the Rfam family "Bacterial small subunit ribosomal RNA", at positions 28 to 507 of the family's 1533-position model. The record is from RNAcentral.
GACGAACGCUGGCGGCGUGCCUAAUACAUGCAAGUUGAGCGCACAGGGGUGGUACUUGUACCCCCUAGGUGAGCAGCGAACGGGUGAGUAACGCGUGGGGAAUCUACCUUUAAGCGGGGGACAACUUUGGGAAACGGGUGCUAAUACCGCAUAAAAACUUUAACCACAAGGUUCAAGUGUGAAAGAUGGACUUGCAUCCACCAAUGGUGGUCUCGCGUUGUAUUAGUUAGUUGGUAAGGUAAAGGUCCUCCAAGGGGACGAUUCCUAGCCGACCUGAGGGGGUGAUCGGCCACACUGGAAGUGAGACACGCGCCAUACUCCUACGGGAGGCAGCAGUAGGGAAUCUUCCGCAAUGGGCGAAAACCUGACAGCGCACCGCCGCGUGAGUGAAGAAGGUCUUCGGAUCGUAAAACUCUGUUUUUAGGGAAAAACAAAUGGGUGAGGGAAGAAGCCCUUCUUGACGGUACUUAAUCAAAAAAGAACGGCGAAAUACGUG